Drosophila ficusphila is the source of this 636-nucleotide long non-coding RNA. RefSeq lists it as uncharacterized. The record is from RefSeq and is a predicted model, not a curated record. Lineage: Eukaryota; Metazoa; Arthropoda; Insecta; Diptera; Drosophilidae. The transcript is spliced from 3 exons.
CUAAGUGUAUUUUUUCAGAAAGUUAUCUUUUUUUUUUACCUCUCCUUUCCACAUUUCCAAAAUUUAAUUUAAGUAUUUUUAUAAAUUUCCAUGUGUCAAUUUUGUUUAAAAGUACCAGCAUCAAGCUGGGCACAGUUAUAUUCUAUAUGGUGUAUAUUAGUUGGUACCUUGAGCAUUGGUUAUUCAUUGUACUUUGUAAUCGAUAUAACUAAUUAUACAGAAAUUUUAAAUAACUUAUUCAGUCAUAUAAACACUUCAAUGAACUCUGAAAAAUUGUUGUUGAUUGCCUGGUGUGAUAUGUCUAUUUUAGUUAUUUUUUCAAUAAUGUAUAUUUUGGCUGGUGUCUUCAUGCUGCUGGGAAUGAGAACAAACUCGAAGGCGUUUUUUAAGGUUGGAAAAGUCCUUAGUUACUUUUUUCCAAUAUAUACAUGGAUGUUUAUUCUUACAACGGUUGUUCAUUGUAUCUGCGUUAUAAAAUUGUGCCAAUAUAUGAAGGAUACCUGGCCUCCAAUCUGAUUUGAAGUACGUUAAAUAAACGGAGCGGUAAGGACAAAUUGAGAGUGUAUUUCAAAUUUACUAAUAAGCGAAGAAACUGAGCAAGAAAUAAAGCUAAGGGAUAACUUCUAAAAAAUUAAA